RNAcentral lists this transfer RNA (24 nucleotides) under Micrococcus luteus. Its description in RNAcentral is "tRNA-Ala". The record is from RNAcentral. Lineage: Bacteria; Bacillati; Actinomycetota; Actinomycetes; Micrococcales; Micrococcaceae.
GCGUACGACUGAANAUCGUAAGGU